CUUUUACACAUGGCAAGUCGGACGGCAGCGGGGUAGUGCUUGCACUACUGCCGGCGAGUGGCGAACGGGUGAGUAACAUAUCGGAACGUACCGGGCAGUGGGGGAUAACUGAUCGAAAGAUCAGCUAAUACCGCAUAUUUUCUGAGGAAGAAAGCAGGGGACCUUCGGGCCUUGCGCUAUCCGAGCGGCCGAUAUCUGAUUAGCUUGUUGGCGGGGUAAAGGCCCACCAAGGCGACGAUCAGUAGCGGGUCUGAGAGGACGAUCCGCCACACUGGGACUGAGACACGGCCCAGACUCCUACGGGAGGCAGCAGUGGGGAAUUUUGGACAAUGGGCGCAAGCCUGAUCCAGCCAUGCCGCGUGUCUGAAGAAGGCCUUCGGGUUGUAAAGGACUUUUGUCGGGGAAGAAAAGGUCGGGGUUAAUACCCCCGGCUGAUGACGGUACCCGAAGAAUAAGCACCGGCUAACUACGUGCCAGCAGCCGCGGUAAUACGUAGGGUGCGAGCGUUAAUCGGAAUUACUGGGCGUAAAGCGGGCGCAGACGGUUACUUAAGCAGGAUGUGAAAUCCCCGGGCUCAACCCGGGAAUUGCGUUCUGAACUGGGUGGCUAGAGUGUGUCAGAGGGAGGUAGAAUUCCACGUGUAGCAGUGAAAUGCGUAGAGAUGUGGAGGAAUACCGAUGGCGAAGGCAGCCUCCUGGGAUAACACUGACGUUCAUGCCCGAAAGCGUGGGUAGCAAACAGGAUUAGAUACCCUGGUAGUCCACGCCCUAAACGAUGUCGAUUAGCUGUUGGGCAGCCUGACUGCUUGGUUAGCGAAGCUAACGCGUGAAAUCGACCGCCUGGGGAGUACGGUCGCAAGAUUAAAACUCAUAGGAAUUGACGGGGACCCCGCACAAGCGGUGGAUUGAUG
This 910-nucleotide ribosomal RNA is filed under the name Neisseria sp. RNAcentral describes it as "bacterial SSU rRNA". It matches the Rfam family "Bacterial small subunit ribosomal RNA", at positions 47 to 942 of the family's 1533-position model. The record is from RNAcentral. Lineage: Bacteria; Pseudomonadati; Pseudomonadota; Betaproteobacteria; Neisseriales; Neisseriaceae.